Biomphalaria pfeifferi is the source of this 202-nucleotide non-coding RNA. Lineage: Eukaryota; Metazoa; Mollusca; Gastropoda; Planorbidae. The record is from the annotation of a GenBank genome assembly.
GAUCUAGAUGUGAGUGUUUCAAAAAAGGGUGGGCCCUACAUGGAAAAUGUACUAGUUCUACACUGUAACACUAGAUCUAGAUGUGAGUGUUUCAAAAUAGGCUGGGCCCUACUUGGAAAAUGUACUAGUACUACACUGUAACACUAGAUCUAGAUGUGACUGUUUCUAAAUAGGCUGGGCCCUACUUGGAAAAUGUACUAGU